Molecule: long non-coding RNA, 258 nt
Organism: Populus euphratica (Euphrates poplar)
Lineage: Eukaryota; Viridiplantae; Streptophyta; Magnoliopsida; Malpighiales; Salicaceae
Exons: 3
Source: RefSeq, a predicted model, not a curated record
AUCAGAAGGAAGAAACGAGCAAACAAAUCACAAUCAAAUGUGCAAAUAAAUCAAAGAAUAAUUUGACUUAAUAAAAGAAUACAUUUCAUUCACUACAUCAAUUGAUGAGUUUGAAACAGAUUUCAAAAACCUAUGCCACAAACAUUUGGGCAGCCAGAUGAAAAAUGGUGGAGAGCACCAAAAAAUUAACAAGAGCUUAAGAUGAAGAAUAUACAUUAGCAUUCAAUAUUUCUUAAAAACUUUCAAUCUUUCUUAGAA